Long non-coding RNA from Prionailurus viverrinus (fishing cat), 320 nucleotides. RefSeq lists it as uncharacterized. The transcript is spliced from 3 exons. The record is from RefSeq and is a predicted model, not a curated record. Lineage: Eukaryota; Metazoa; Chordata; Mammalia; Carnivora; Felidae.
GGGAAGACUGUGCAUGAAAGGCAGAGAUACAACUUACAGCACUGCCUCGUGGCCUCUGUGACUGAAUCAGAUGUUGAAUCACUGCGGAAAUACCCCAGGCACCCAGGAUUUCUGAUGGUUGGUGAGUUCCUGUGUGCUUUCAGGAAAAGGGCACCUGUGUUUGGGCACAUGGAUUGUUCAGGAGCCAAAACAGGCUGAUCUUGAGAGGGUCUGCACUGCCACCAGCCCAUAUUACUCAACAGAGGUAUGUUAUAGUUUGAACGAAGACACUCACGUAUCCAUCUAAUUUCCGGAAGAUCUUGAUUGUGAAGGACUGUUUG